GUCAGACUUAUGUCUGAAUUCUGACUCUAUCUGCCACCUACUAGUUGGGUGAACCUGAGCAUAUCACCUAACUUUUCUGAGCUGCAGUUUGUUUAUCUCUAAAAUAGGAUUAUGAUAAUCUACUCCAUGCCUUAUUUUGAGGAUCAAAAUGAUCAUGUAUGAAGUGUAAGUAUGCAUAAUAUGUAUAAUAUAGGAGGGAAAACCACUUGGCAUAGUGUCCAGCACAUAGUGAGUGCCCAGUAAAUAAUGGCUUGAAAAAUAGAUUGGCAUUAUGCCAGUUUUAUAGGUGAGAAAUCUGGGACCCAGCAGUUAAUUUGCUUAAUGUUGCCCAGCUAAUAGAUGGCAGCCCUUGGAGCUUGAUAUAUAUCAGACUCCCAAGUUAAUAUGCUUUAACAAAUGCAAUUUUGGGGGUCCUGUUUAUAAAACAUGCUCAUUGUAGAAUAAGAAAAUACAGCAUAUCAAGAAUAAAAAUUAAAACCACCCCUAGUCUCACUGUAUAACAGUUUAGUAUAUUUUUAUAUAGUCUUCUAUGUACUUUUAACAUAAUUAAAAACAGUGCAUAUACAAUUUUGUAUCCUACUUAUUCACUUAGUUUUCAUUGUAAGCAUUUUUUUUUAUUAUACUUUAAGUUCUGGGGUACAUGUGCAGAAGGUGCAGGUUUGUUACAUAGGUAUACACGUGCCAUGGUGGUUUGCUGCACCCAUCAACCCAUCACCUACAUUAGGUAUUUCUCCUAAUGCUGUCCGUCCCAUAGCCCCCCACCCCCCUACAGGCCACAGUGUGUGAUAUUACCCUUCCUGUGUCCAUGUGUUCUCCUUGUUCAACUCCCACUUAUGAGUGAGAACAUGCAGUGUUUGUGUGUCCGGCGUUGGUGGGUUCUUGGUCUCACUGACUUCAAGAAUGAAGCCGCGGACCCUCGUGGUGAGUGUUACAGCUCUUAAGGUGGCGCGUCUGAAGUUUGUUCCUUCUGAUGUUCAGAUGUGCUCUGAGUUUCUUCCUUCUGGUGGGUUCGUGGUCUCGCUGGCUCAGGAGUGAAGCUGCAGACCUUCGCGGUGAGUGUUACAGCUCUUAAGGUAGCGCGUCUGGAGUUGUUCGUUCCUCCUGGUGGGCUCGUUGUCUCGCUGGGUUCAGGAGUGAAGCUGCAGAUCUUCACGGUGAGUGUUACAGCUCAUAAAAGGAGCGUGGACCCAAAGCGUGAGCAGUAGCAAGAUUUAUUGCAAAGAGUGAAAGAACAAAGCUUCCACAGUGUGGAAGGGGACCCAAAAAAAAG
This 1270-nucleotide long non-coding RNA is filed under the name Homo sapiens (human). RNAcentral describes it as "non-protein coding lnc-THTPA-4:1". Lineage: Eukaryota; Metazoa; Chordata; Mammalia; Primates; Hominidae. The record is from RNAcentral.